RNAcentral lists this ribosomal RNA (387 nucleotides) under uncultured bacterium. RNAcentral's name for it is "bacterial SSU rRNA". It matches the Rfam family "Bacterial small subunit ribosomal RNA", at positions 32 to 409 of the family's 1533-position model. The record is from RNAcentral.
AAUCAACGCUGGCGGCGUGCCUCAGACAUGCAAGUCGAACGAUUAAACUUUCCUUCGGGGAAGAUAUAGAGUGGCGCACGGGUGAGUAACACGUAAGUAAUCUACCCUUGGGUGGGGAAUAACAUCGGGAAACCGAUGCUAAUACCGCAUAAUGCAGCGGCUUCUUAUGAAGACAGUUGUUAAAGCAUUUAUGUGCCUGAGGAGGAGCUUGCGGCAGAUUAGCAGUUGGUAAGGUAAUGGCUUACCAAGGCGACGAUCUGUAGCCGACCUGAGAGGGUGGUCGGUCACACUGACACUGAAUAACGGGUCAGACUCCUACGGGAGGCAGCAGUCGGGAAUUUUGGGCAAUGGGCGCAAGCCUGACCCACGCAACGCCGCGUGAAGGAU